UGGGGAAUUUUGGACAAUGGGCGCAAGCCUGAUCCAGCCAUGCCGCGUGCGGGAAGAAGGCCUUCGGGUUGUAAACCGCUUUUGUCAGGGAAGAAAUCUUCUGAGUUAAUACCUCGGGAGGAUGACGGUACCUGAAGAAUAAGCACCGGCUAACUACGUGCCAGCAGCCGCGGUAAUACGUAGGGUGCAAGCGUUAAUCGGAAUUACUGGGCGUAAAGCGUGCGCAGGCGGUUUUGUAAGACAGAGGUGAAAUCCCCGGGCUCAACCUGGGGACUGCCUUUGUGACUGCAAGGCUUGAGUGCGGCAGAGGGGGAUGGAAUUCCGCGUGUAGCAGUGAAAUGCGUAGAUAUGCGGAGGAACACCGAUGGCGAAGGCAAUCCCCUGGGCCUGCACUGACGCUCAUGCACGAAAGCGUGGGGAGCAAACAGGAUUAGAUACCCUGGUAGUCCACGCCCUAAACGAUGUCAACUGGUUGUUGGGAAGGUUCCUUCUCAGUAACGUAGCUAACGCGUGAAGUUGACCGCCUGGGGAGUACGGCC
RNAcentral lists this ribosomal RNA (539 nucleotides) under uncultured bacterium. RNAcentral's name for it is "partial 16S ribosomal RNA". It matches the Rfam family "Bacterial small subunit ribosomal RNA", at positions 355 to 887 of the family's 1533-position model. The record is from RNAcentral.